This is a long non-coding RNA of Panthera uncia (snow leopard), 6859 nucleotides long. RefSeq lists it as uncharacterized. The transcript has 2 exons. The record is from RefSeq and is a predicted model, not a curated record. Lineage: Eukaryota; Metazoa; Chordata; Mammalia; Carnivora; Felidae.
UCAACCGAUCCAAACUGACAAUCUCCUUCCCCGUUAUCUUUUAGGUUAUCUGAAAAGAAGCGUCUACAGCGUUCCCAAGUAACCUGGUCUGGGGUCUCUCACAUCUUUAUCCAGGGUGCUCAUCUCUGUCUUUAAUCUGAGUCCCCUCUUCUCUUGUCUUAUCAUCAGCACAUGAGCUCGAGGCUCCAGUUAUAAUUUCAGUGGAAGAAGGGGGAUGCGGAAACUGCUGGGGCGUCUGAAUUCUGCCAGGUUUCCCUACCAGCGUGGUCUAGAACCACAUAAAGGUGGCUGAUGAAGGGACACGACGCGUCAAAAAGAAAACGCGUAUCAAGGAGACUGCGAAAUGGAUUCCUUCUCACUAAGGUGUAAGCACAGGAGACCACGGAGUCUAUCGUUACCUGAAACUGUGGUCUAGCCAAGGAGAACGCAAGGCACCACGUCAAGUAGUGGAAACCGUAGCAAUGUUAUGCUGAAGUUUUGCAAUAGUCUUCUCCUCUUGGUCACUUUUGUCUAAAUAAACUAAAAACCGUGUCAGAUAGACUCAGCCCUUGCUGGGAACUCAUUUCUCCAUCCGCUCUUCUUCCUCCUCAGUAGCGCAUGUGACUGUAUGACAGAGAAAUCCUUGCUUUCGAAAACAGUGCCCUGAGAACCGAGGAUACAGGUCCCGCUUGCUCAAGAGCCUGACCUCAGUCCUCAGAGCUGCAACCCCAAAUGACUCAGACCACUGAGCUGGUGAGUGGGAGGUUUUAAAGCUACGUUUCAAGAGCUAGUCACAGGCAGAGCACACGUUGAAAGCCACGUCACUAACUUAGCAGCAAUUAGGUUUUUCUUUUCAUCUCCCCAUUUUUUCAGCCAGGUGUAAGGACUGAGACUAGAGCAAAUAAUUUUUAUAGCGACGAGAGCAGAGGGAAACAAGCAACGCACAGAGUGUUAACCCAAGGGCCCAAGGCUGAGUAAGACGCAGUGGGACAUCCUCGUCGAGGUGAGCUGGAUAAGAACACACACGAGUAAACGAGUAAAGGAUGAGCCGUGUGUGUGUGCAACCCCUGCGUCAAGUGGUUUCUCAGGAAGGAUGAAGAAAGGAAAUUGAACUGAGCCAACAUGUUGACACUUUAUCUCACCGGACAGCUUAAACAAACACGCUAGUUCCAACAUCUCUUUGGGUUGCCUGUGCAGCAACCACACGUACUUUGCACAAGUCUAGAAACGGGAGCCAGAGUUUCUGGCUGUUGCUUAAACUUGUAACCUUUCCAAGCUUACCUCAGGGCAAGGUAUCUACUGAGCAGACCGGCGGUGAAAUUUCCCAAGGAAGCCUUUGGCUCGAACAACAAACGGGGCCACCCCAGAGGUUGGUUCGAGGUGCGAAUGCCGCGCUAGCCUUGAGCUGGGGGUGGAGGGGGACCUUCAGCACUCUGCACUCCACGGUGCCCGCCGAUUAAGGAAGAACACCAAAGGAGACCAAAGCUGUAGGCUGGUCCAACUUGGGUCCGAGGCCAUUUUGGACUGACACGACUGGAAGGAGGAUAGAGACCGGUUACUUAGGCUGUUUCAGGGACCUACACUUGGGCAGGCUUGGAAAUUCAGUUUUCUCAAGGCACAUACACCGAUGUGGGCCAUCAUCAACUUCUUGGAUGUUGUCCUUUUGCCUUUCAGACGGUCCCCACCCCCUUUUCGCCCUGUCAUGUGGUCCCACAUGCUGGCAGAUUCAACAGAAUCCUUGACCCUCUGGCUUUGGGUUGGCUUUGAGGCACUGAAAGGAGAUCACAGUGUAGCAAAGAAAGGCAGUCGGGGGGGGGGGGGGUUAUUCCCCUCAGUCUCUUACUUUCCAGGUGGCUGUGGGUUAGCCACGUUGCUCUGAUGAAGGCCCAGCGUGGGUGGGCAGUCCUUUUCCACACAGCUCCCCUCCCUCGUUCCAGGAACUGCUUCUUUAUGUACCUUCAAGGGGACAAGAGGAGGUCUAAGGGUUUCCUGCUGUGAUUAAUGCAGGACACUGCACUCUUCCUUGCAGAUUUUCCACACUUUGUAAAUCGUAGCUUUAUCAAACUCUCCUUAAAAUAUCUCAGAACACUUGUGAUCUCCCAUCAACCUGACUUUCAAUCAACAUCCGUCAACUGACAGCAUGGAAAUUAAGAUGAGAAUAACUGUCCCUAAAGGAAGUUGAUAUGCUGCCUAUGGUUUUAUCCUCUGGCUUUAUUAGCUUGGAUAGUUGCAAAGACAACUUUCGAAAGCUCUUAAUUUUAUCCUGUGUGCCUUGCCUCCAAUUUGAAUAAGCUGCCUUCAGACAGAUGAUGGUAUUGGGUAAUAAUCUUGUUAAAUAUGUAUAGGUAUUGGAUAUGCCUGCUUUUGUUUUACUCUGUGAGAAUAUAAAACUAUAUUAGAACAGUAAGAUAGUGAGAGUAACUAAAUAUUGAUAGGCUAUAGUACAGUGAUUCCAAGUACAGGUUUUAAAGGCAGGCGGAUAGGGAUUCGAGUAUACCACCCUUGGCUGUGUGGCCUUUGGAAAGCUACCUAACUUCUCUUGUUUGUUUGCUUGUUUUUUCAUUCAUAAAAUAGUCAUAGUAACUGUACCUGCUUUUUAUGUUUGUCGUGAAGAUUGAAUGAAAUAUUGGACAUAAAAUAAAGGUACAGUGAGCACUUAAAAAUGGUAGAUAUAUAUUUUUUAAGUUUAUUUAUUUAUUUUUAGAGAGAGAGAGAGCAUGAGUGGAGGAGGGGCAGGGAGAGAGAAAGAGAGAAUCUCAAGCAGGCUUGACAUGGGGCACAGAGCCUGACAUGGGCCUCGAUCUCAACGAACCGUGAGAUCGUGACCUGAGUCAAAUCAGGAGUCGGAUGCUUCACCGACUGAGCCACCCAGGAGCCCCCCAAAUGGUAGAUAUUAUUACCAGUGGUAAAAUCCUGUUAAAUUAUUUUCAAGUAUAUCAUUAUUUUAUCUCAUUGGGUUGUUAUAAAGGUGAAAUGAGCUAAUAUCUUUUAAGUGCUUAGAAGGGUACCUGGCACAUAGCUAAAAGUGACAGGAGUGUUAAUUAAUACUUAAAUAAUACUUAAGUGUAAACACCUAGGUAUAAUUUGAUUCCUUUCUCUCUGCCUUUUAAUUAUUCUCAAUCUCUCAAACUACUUUUGGAUUUCCCUCCAGGCUUAAAUAGAAAAUAACCUUCUAACGUUACCCUGAAAUUUCUCUUAUAGUCAAAAACCUUCCUGAGCACAUGAUUUCUUUUUUUUUUUUUAAGUUUAUUUAUUUACCUUGAGAGCAAGAGAGUAUGUGCACACACAUGAAUGGGAGAGAGAGACAGAGACAGAGAGAGAGAGAGAGAAUAUCCCAGGCAGGAUCUGAACUGUCAGAGCCGGAUGCGGGGCUGGAACUCAUGAACAGUGAGAGCAUGACCCGAGCUGAAAUCAAGAGACGGAUGCUUAAUGUACUCAACCACCCAGGCAUCCCUGAAGUUCUGAUUUCUAAGCUUCGGGUCUGCUUAGGAUCAGAAGUGAUUUCAAGCCAAAUUUUGAAUAUUUCAUUCCUCACACUCCUGAAUGAGAUCUUAGCUAUCUUUUCGCCAUGGACUGGCUGGAUCAAGGUGGCAGGGGGGUAGGGGUGGGGUGCUGUUCCUAUGACUCCCUCCUCCCGUUUGUUUAAUUUCCUGGGACAGCUCACAGAACGCAGGAAAACAGUUUACUUGCUAGAUUAUUGGUUUCUUCGAAGGAUAUCGAAGGAUACAAAUGAACUACCAGAUGGAGAUACAUAGGGUAAGAUCUGGAAGGGAGGGAUCUGAGCACAGGAGCUUCUGUCCCCGUGGAGUUUGGGAUGCACCACCAUCCCAGAAUAUAGAUGGGUUCUUGUUCACCAACACAGAAGCUCUCCAAACCCCAUCCUUUUGGGGUUUUGUGGAGGUUUCAUUAGCUCAAAUCAUUAGCUGUUGGUAUUCAGCCUCUAACCCUUCUCUCUUCUCCGGAGGUCAGGGGGUUGGGGCUGAAAGUUCCAACCCCCUAAUGACCGUGGUUGCUUCUCCUGGCAACCAGCCCAAAUCCUUAGGGGCUUUCCAAAAUCACCUCAUUAACAUAAACUCAGGUAUGGUUUAAAGGAGCUUGUUCGGAAUACAAAACACACCUUGGCCUCUCGUAUUGCUUAUGAAAUCCCAAGGGUUUUAGGAGCUCUAGAAGCCAGAAAUGUGGAUGAACACCAAAUGUACAUUUCUUAUAAUAAAUCACAGUAUUACAUUCCUCUAAGCCAGAAGGCCGAGAGGUGACCUGAGUUCGACCCCAGCCGGGUCUUGGGGUUCAAAUGACGGUUGUCACCACCUCUUACUUCUGCAGGCAGCUAGUUCUGUUGACUCCGGACAGAUUUUCUCCAGGUGACAACGAAGGUGAUCUCUGGUUCUCCCUGGUUUAUAUCCUCCUUAGAGGUAAAGAGAAGAGAGAAAAACCUUCCCUCCCUAGCAUAUCAUUCAGUCCAUAUAUGGACCGUAGUGGUCCAUAUAUGGACCGAAGAGGACCGUAGUGAGGUCACAUGCCCGUCGUCUAUAUCCAGGAUUGUUUAGCUGUAGAGCGAUGUGCCCACCAUAGUCCCAUGGUGUGGAAAGAGCCCUUUUCAGAAGGAAGGCUGGGAGAACAGCGAUCCACAACAGCCUCCAACUCCAGUUGGCUGGGACAUUUUUUCUAAAAUCUCCAAAUGCAAAGCUGUUUUAACACUCACGGAGCUCAGUCUAUAUUUGGUUUGGGAAGAGGAGCACUGUGGGUUUGAUGACCUCGAAGGCAGGUCAGAGGUCAUCCCUGCCUGCCCGGUCACUCUCAGAACUUUUUGUACUUCCUGGUGGACCACUGGUUGAUGGUGAUAAUCUACUUAGCGAUUACAGUCUGGAUGUAAAACAAUGAAACGGUCAUUCCGUUGCACUGCCUCCCCAAUUUACCCUCCUACCUCCACAGAUAGUAGCUAAAGACGCACCUGUGAGACAGAAAAAGAAAGGGUCUUGGCACAGAAUAGGUCACGAGCAACAGUCACGUUUAUCUUUUCAUACUCUCAGUUCCCCAAUCUGCUUUUUCUUUCCGUUGGGGUAGAACCAAAAAGACAGAAUGAGAAGACGUCCCCAACAUCUAUUCAUCACUCCUCUGUGACAACUCCGCGAUGCCUCCUUAGUUUUCAGUGAGGGGGCUUUUCUGACAGCUGGCUUUUAUAAUUCCUUCACUAGAUAGUUUCAAUUUAACGAUCAAUUUUUAAAAAUAACUUUUGUAGGCACCCUGACAUUUCAGCCAUUUAAGCAGAACAUAAUAGAGUUUUCCAAAGAAAUAAAUGGUGAUUUCUUUAUACAGCUUCUCCCAUUCAAACACAUUCGCAAGUACGGUCCACCUGAAAAGCUACAACUAACCAUCUUAGACAUGAGGUUCUCAUUUUCCUAUUCCCAGAAUCCCUGCCCCCCUUUAUCAAUACUCUUUCAAAACCUCAUACAAAUGAUUCCCUCCAGAAAGUCUUCCUUGAUUCAUCACUGCCAGAUCUAAUUACAUAUUUUUUUCAUCAUCUAAAUAUUCAUUAUAGGUAUAGUUCUAAUUAGAUUCACCUUCCCUUGUUUGUCUAUGGAUUUAAAGUUUCAAGAGUCUUGGGUUGUGAGUAUAGAUAGGUUCCACUUCUCCAAGUAGGUGACAAUUCAUGGGCAGAGGUUUUCUCUUCUGUGUCCAUAUAACCAUCCUUUCCCAUCCCCCUGAUCCACAGGACUGCUUUAAGCAAAGACAACGGAGGAACUUAUGUGUAGCAAAUGAUCCUGGACUCCGCAAAAUGCCAGAGCAGAGGGGAGAUUCUAGCUCUGUUAUAUACUAGCUGUAUGGGGGAAAAGAUCAAUAUGUAAAAGCUUAAUUUUCUUACGUGAAAAAGUGAUAAUAAAUUCUUGAGGGUUUCUAAAAAGUGAUAAUUAAAUAAGUUACGUAUUCAAAAACAUUUAAGGAUGCUUGAGGAUCCUUUAAGAAGUAUUUGUUUCCUUAGUGAUAUGAUUGAAGAAGGUACUGAGUCUAUGAAAUAACUUUCUCAUUUGUUGUUGAUACUUGAAAUGCUUUUCUAGAAGACCAAAUCCUUUCUGCCAAAUUAGAAAUAAGAAUAAAGGGGCGCCUGGGUGGCUCAGCUGGUGAAGCAUCUGACUUUGGCUCAGGUCAUGAUCUCACAGUUUGUGAGCUCGAGCCCUGUUUUGAGUGAGCACAAGCCGCUCUUUGGGCGAGCCCCGCUUCUCUCUCUCUCUCUCCCUCUCUCCCUCUGCCCCUCGUUCACAUGUGCCCUCUCUCGAAAGAAAGAAAGAAAGAAAGAAAGAGAGAGAGAAAGAAAGAAUAAAAUUGCAAAUGAUCUUGGAGCAAGUAAGAAUAAACUUAAGUAUGUGAUAAAUACAUGACCACAUAUCCUGUCUGCUCCUUCCCUUACCCGGGCUUCACAUCAUGAACUGGUCAAAGUAGAAUGUCUCGCUUAGCCUGUGGUACACCUCAGAAUUCUCCACACAGGACUCUAGGCAGACACUAGCAAUUGAUUGGAGUUUGUCCCCUCAUGCUAACACAUACAUCAUUGACACUGGCUACUUUCAGAAGGGCAGAAUUUGAUAUCAGGAAGAGGGUAAAGGAACACUCACUGCUGGAUGGAGACAUUAAGAAAGGGCACCCAGAGAGGAAAAAGGUGCAAGUUCUCUGGCCUGAUACACUCUCUAAAAUGUUACCCUUAUCCAGAGAGGUAAUUCCCAGGGUCCAGCUGAAAGGACAGCCCCAUGGACUAUUAAAUAAAAUAAUGAGUAAUCGUAAAGUACUUGAAGUAACAAGACGGUAUGAUAGAAUAUAGCAUGAGGAGACCUACCGGGUCUGUGGAAUGCCUCUCUAAGGAGGUGACAUUGGACUGACGUCUAAAGAA